GAUGAACGCUGGCGGCGUGCCUAAUACAUGCAAGUCGAGCGAACAGACGAGGAGCUUGCUCCUCUGACGUUAGCGGCGGACGGGUGAGUAACACGUGGAUAACCUACCUAUAAGACUGGGAUAACUUCGGGAAACCGGAGCUAAUACCGGAUAAUAUAUUGAACCGCAUGGUUCAAUAGUGAAAGACGGUUUUGCUGUCGCUUAUAGAUGGAUCCGCGCCGCAUUAGCUAGUUGGUAAGGUAACGGCUUACCAAGGCAACGAUGCGUAGCCGACCUGAGAGGGUGAUCGGCCACACUGGAACUGAGACACGGUCCAGACUCCUACGGGAGGCAGCAGUAGGGAAUCUUCCGCAAUGGGCGAAAGCCUGACGGAGCAACGCCGCGUGAGUGAUGAAGGUCUUCGGAUCGUAAAACUCUGUUAGUAGGGAAGAACAAAUGUGUAAGUAACUAUGCACGUCUUGACGGUACCUAAUCAGAAAGCCACGGCUAACUACGUG
Molecule: ribosomal RNA, 497 nt
Filed under: uncultured bacterium
Lineage: Bacteria
Description: partial 16S ribosomal RNA
Rfam family: Bacterial small subunit ribosomal RNA
Source: RNAcentral